CCUGGCUGACUUGCCUGUUUCUAACCU
This 27-nucleotide unclassified non-coding RNA is filed under the name Mus musculus (house mouse). RNAcentral describes it as "oocyte_clustered_small_RNA12797". The record is from RNAcentral. Lineage: Eukaryota; Metazoa; Chordata; Mammalia; Rodentia; Muridae.